GGCCCGUUAGCUCAGUUGGUUAGAGCGUCGUGCUAAUAACGCGAAGGCCCGGGGUUCGAUCCCCUCAGGGGCCA
Non-coding RNA from Trichonephila inaurata madagascariensis, 74 nucleotides. Lineage: Eukaryota; Metazoa; Arthropoda; Arachnida; Araneae; Nephilidae. The record is from the annotation of a GenBank genome assembly.